AUUGAACGCUGGCGGCAGGCUUAACACAUGCAAGUCGAGCGGGGUGAUGGUGCUUGCACUAUCACUUAGCGGCGGACGGGUGAGUAAUGCUUAGGAAUCUGCCUAUUAGUGGGGGACAACAUCUCGAAAGGGAUGCUAAUACCGCAUACGUCCUACGGGAGAAAGCAGGGGAUCACUUGUGACCUUGCGCUAAUAGAUGAGCCUAAGUCGGAUUAGCUAGUUGGUGGGGUAAAGGCCUACCAAGGCGACGAUCUGUAGCGGGUCUGAGAGGAUGAUCCGCCACACUGGGACUGGGACACGGCCCAGACUCCUACGGGAGGUAGCAGUGGGGAAUAUUGGACAAUGGGGGGAACCCUGAUCCAGCCAUGCCGCGUGUGUGAAGAAGGCCUUAUGGUUGUAAAGCACUUUAAGCGAGGAGGGGGCUCUUUUGGUUAAUACCCAAGAUGAGUGGACGUUACUCGCAGAAUAAGCACCGGCUAACUCUGUGCCAGCCGCCGCGGUAA
Molecule: ribosomal RNA, 503 nt
Filed under: uncultured bacterium
Lineage: Bacteria
Description: partial 16S ribosomal RNA
Rfam family: Bacterial small subunit ribosomal RNA
Source: RNAcentral